This 457-nucleotide long non-coding RNA is filed under the name Triticum aestivum (bread wheat). RNAcentral's name for it is "long non-coding RNA (TAES_LNC022097)". Lineage: Eukaryota; Viridiplantae; Streptophyta; Magnoliopsida; Poales; Poaceae. The record is from RNAcentral.
AAAACUCUUUCCAUGGACUCCUCCAUCCCCUUUCUUUUCCUUUCCUUUGGAAUUCUUUCACCUUUCUGUCGUGCUUGCAAUUGGAAUUCAACUUUGCAUGUCCGUGAUUCAUAGCUCGCUACUGCUAGAUGAUCAAGCCAGCUUAUCACUUAUAGCAGUACUACUCAAUGUUCAUUAGCUUGAUUCAUACUCUAGCCCUUGUUGCUAAAUGAUGAUGAGGAUGAUGAUGAAUUAGCACUUGUUGAUCGAUAAUGAUGAUGAAGAAGAAUUAGUACCUGCUGAUCGAUGAUGAUGAUAAUAAUGUUAAAUGGCUGCAUGAUUUAGUGGAAACGAAAAGAAACUAGGAGCGAUGUUACUGUGAUUGAUUGUCUUGAGAUGCUUGUUUAGUGGGUGUAGUUUUUGUCUCUUUCUUGUCAUGUUUUUCUGUUGCGUGUGCUCCGGGAUGCACGCAUCAUUG